This 1357-nucleotide long non-coding RNA is filed under the name Olea europaea subsp. europaea. Lineage: Eukaryota; Viridiplantae; Streptophyta; Magnoliopsida; Lamiales; Oleaceae. The record is from RNAcentral.
AGUAAUUGAACUUUGCAUUAUGUAUGUUUCACUUACUAUACUUUAAUUUGCAUCCCAUCAUUCACUGAACUUUACAAAAUUGCACUCCAUCACUAACCCACUAACUUUUGUCUUCACAGUCCGCCUACGUGGAAGACGACAGUCAUAUGUGGCCAUUAAAUAAUCCAAACUGGAGAAGGAAUUGUUAGGUCAAAUGAACCAAGCACCCCUUACCUUAUUUCAUCACGGAAAUUGCGAUUUGGGAACCCUAAUUUAUCAUAAACGCUCGAUUUAUCUUGGCAUCGAAGUGAAAUUCCUCAAACAUCUCCGUCAAAAGCGUGAACCCUACUCCCCAAAAUCAUAAUUAUUCCAAAAUUGAAUACGAGUCAAGGGCAAUUGUUGAUUGGCUCGGAGAGAACACCCAAAGGUAAUUGAGAAAAAUUUUCCCUUUUCAUAAUUUAAUAUCAUUGAAUUUGUAGUGCGAACUAGUUUUGUGAUCGAGUUGAGUUGUUAAUGGAAUCAAAUAACAUAAUGAAAUGCGAACAACGUUAUUAUCCAUGGCUCUGGUUUUCCAUUUCAUUUGUUUUUAUCUCUUAAGCUUUGUUCUUUGAUUUUUGGAGUUCACUAGUGCAGUUCUUCGAUGUGGGUAUGCCCAAAAAAGCUUAUUUCUUUGUCCAUGGCUCCUGUUUUCCAUUUCGUUAGUCCUUUGUGUUUUUACAUCAUAGGGCAACUCUGUAGAUAGCUCCGGUUUAGUUUUUACCACGUCAUAAGUAAUUAAUUGAUGCAUUGCAUUUUAUUUUUCGUAGGAAAAAACAAGGGGAUUUGCCACUGUUACAGAGAACCAAGCCACCAAUUAUGGGUAUGCCUAAAAAAACAGCAAUGUCCAAAUUGUGCCGGAGCAAUCAUAAAAUGGAUGUCAAAGAAGAACGAAAGGGCUUUUCAAUUGAAGAUUUGUCCAGUUUGUUAAAGAUUGCCGCUGAAAUUAUCGAACAACAAGAUGUCACCAUUAAACUAAGCUUCCACAAGGGUAAAGGAGACACGGAAGUCAGAAGGAAACGAAGGCCAAGAGAGUCGUGAACAUAUUCCAUAUAUGAAGGCGACGAGACGAGAAGAACUAACUUUUAAUUUCAUAUUUUUUUAAUAACUAGACUAUUCAUGCUUCCAAUUUCAUGUUUAUUGUUUUCGUUUAAGUGGAAACUAUGCUGUACUUGAUAUUUGAUUUCGUGAAGUUGUGAUUUCUAAAGAACAAUCUCCGUUUGCCUAUGUUUGAUUUGAACUAGUUGUGUAUCAAAACUUUUCUAAUGACCUUCUUCUAAUGAUUUAAACAAUCUCCAUUUGCCUCCAUUGUGAUGUUCAUGUUGCCUUCAAUCCCAGCAGC